Cavia porcellus (domestic guinea pig) is the source of this 843-nucleotide long non-coding RNA. RefSeq lists it as uncharacterized. The transcript has 3 exons. The record is from RefSeq and is a predicted model, not a curated record. Lineage: Eukaryota; Metazoa; Chordata; Mammalia; Rodentia; Caviidae.
CGGAAGCUUGAUCGGAUUAUUUCGUCUUGCUUUCGUCUCUCUUUUGUCUCCCCUAUGUCUUUUAUUUAAUCCCCAUUUCCCCUCCAGGAGCUCUGAACUUGUUGAUCUGCAGGCUGGAUCAAGUGGCGCUCAGCGUGGGAGCUCCUGGCACGGAGAAGUUAACGAGGGAGGGAGCCGUUCGAGAGACAGCUGGCUUAAACUGAAAGUGAAAGCGAAUUGAACCAGAGACCUCGGCCGAGGAAUGAGUAAACUAAAUCAAGGAUUAAAGCUUAAAGCAACAAGACAUUAAAUUAAGUACUGAGACCUGCACAGACGACUACCCGACGUCCUGCCCGAGUCACGGCAAAAUAUAAGGAUAAGAAGAUGAUAUGAAAGUAGAAGGAAAAUUAUUAUCAAAGAAGGGAUCUGGAAGAACAAAUGGGAAAGAGGACAAGAGGAGAGAGAGGAGGUGGUGACUGCUGAUCCAGUUCCUUGCUUUUCCUACAUGAAGUGGCCUGAUGUGUCUCCACUGAAUCCAACUCUCCUUUUCAUUCUAUUUAUUCAUUUAUUUUUAUUCUUUCAUUUUAUUUUAAAGAGAAAGAAGAAAAUCAGAUAAAUCAACAAGCGAACAAAGUUAAAAAUCAACAACAAAAGCAAAACAACAACAAAACACCAGCUAUAUACAGAUUUCCAAACAAGAUGAGUGGGGCCAGGGAUUUAGCUCAGCAGCACAAGUGCCUGUUUGACAAGCAUGAGGUCAUGAGUUUGAUCCCAAGUAACAGUGCACUUGACAUCCUCUGAGUAGACACUGAGAUCCUAAACCCCAGGUCUGCAAGGCCAAUCAAAUAAAAGCUAUUCCUUUUA